CCUACGGGCGGCAGCAGUGGGGAAUAUUGGACAAUGGGGGCAACCCUGAUCCAGCCAUGCCGCGUGUGUGAAGAAGGCCCUCGGGUUGUAAAGCACUUUCAGUGAGGAAGAACGCCUGGUGGUUAAUACCCAUCAGGAAAGACAUCACUCACAGAAGAAGCACCGGCUAACUCCGUGCCAGCAGCCGCGGUAAUACGGAGGGUGCGAGCGUUAAUCGGAAUUACUGGGCGUAAAGCGCGCGUAGGUGGCUUGAUAAGCCGGUUGUGAAAGCCCCGGGCUCAACCUGGGAACGGCAUCCGGAACUGUCAAGCUAGAGUGCAGGAGAGGAAGGUAGAAUUCCCGGUGUAGCGGUGAAAUGCGUAGAGAGCGGGAGGAAUACCAGUGGCGAAGGCGGCCUUCUGGACUGACACUGACACUGAGGUGCGAAAGCGUGGGUAGCAAACAGGAUUAGAUACCCUGGUAGUC
Molecule: ribosomal RNA, 465 nt
Filed under: Vreelandella stevensii
Lineage: Bacteria; Pseudomonadati; Pseudomonadota; Gammaproteobacteria; Oceanospirillales; Halomonadaceae
Description: partial 16S ribosomal RNA
Rfam family: Bacterial small subunit ribosomal RNA
Source: RNAcentral